Molecule: ribosomal RNA, 386 nt
Filed under: uncultured bacterium
Lineage: Bacteria
Description: bacterial SSU rRNA
Rfam family: Bacterial small subunit ribosomal RNA
Source: RNAcentral
AUUGAACGCUGGCGGCAUGCCUUACACAUGCAAGUCGAACGGUAACGCGGGGGCAACCCUGGCGACGAGUGGCGAACGGGUGAGUAAUACAUCGGAACGUACCCAGUAGUGGGGGAUAGCUCGGCGAAAGCCGGAUUAAUACCGCAUACGACCUAUGGGUGAAAGCGGGGGAUCGCAAGACCUCGCGCUAUUGGAGCGGCCGAUGUCGGAUUAGCUAGUUGGUGAGGUAAAGGCNCACCAAGGCUACGAUCCGUAGCUGGUCUGAGAGGACGACCAGCCACACUGGGACUGAGACACGGCCCAGACUCCUACGGGAGGCAGCAGUGGGGAAUUUUGGACAAUGGGCGCAAGCCUGAUCCAGCCAUGCCGCGUGUGUGAAGAAGGCC